AGUGUAGGCGGUCAAGCAAGUCAGAGGUGAAAGGCAUCGGCUCAACCGAUGUAAGCCUUUGAAACUGUUUGACUUGAGUGCAGGAGAGGUAAGUGGAAUUCCUAGUGUAGCGGUGAGAUGCGUAGAUAUUAGGAGGAACACCAGUGGCGAAGGCGACUUACUGGACUGUAACUGACGCUGAGGCUCGAAAGCGUGGGGAGCGAACA
Molecule: ribosomal RNA, 206 nt
Filed under: uncultured bacterium
Lineage: Bacteria
Description: partial 16S ribosomal RNA
Rfam family: Bacterial small subunit ribosomal RNA
Source: RNAcentral